RNAcentral lists this ribosomal RNA (982 nucleotides) under uncultured bacterium. Its description in RNAcentral is "bacterial SSU rRNA". It matches the Rfam family "Bacterial small subunit ribosomal RNA", at positions 8 to 979 of the family's 1533-position model. The record is from RNAcentral.
AGAGUUUGAUCCUGGCUCAGAUUGAACGCUGGCGGCAUGCUUUACACAUGCAAGUCGGACGGCAGCACAGGGAAGCUUGCUUCUUGGGUGGCGAGUGGCGAACGGGUGAGUAACAUAUCGGAACGUACCGAGCAGUGGGGGAUAACUAAUCGAAAGAUUAGCUAAUACCGCAUAUUUUCUGAGGAAGAAAGCAGGGGACCUUUGGGCCUUGCGCUGUUUGAGCGGCCGAUAUCUGAUUAGCUAGUUGGUGGGGUAAAGGCCUACCAAGGCGACGAUCAGUAGCGGGUCUGAGAGGAUGAUCCGCCACACUGGGACUGAGACACGGCCCAGACUCCUACGGGAGGCAGCAGUGGGGAAUUUUGGACAAUGGGCGCAAGCCUGAUCCAGCCAUGCCGCGUGUCUGAAGAAGGCCUUCGGGUUGUAAAGGACUUUUGUCAGGGAAGAAAAGGGCGGGGUUAAUACCCCUGUCUGAUGACGGUACCUGAAGAAUAAGCACCGGCUAACUACGUGCCAGCAGCCGCGGUAAUACGUAGGGUGCGAGCGUUAAUCGGAAUUACUGGGCGUAAAGCGGGCGCAGACGGUUACUUAAGCAGGAUGUGAAGUCCCCGGGCUCAACCUGGGAACUGCGUUCUGAACUGGGUGACUAGAGUGUGUCAGAGGGAGGUAGAAUUCCACGUGUAGCAGUGAAAUGCGUAGAGAUGUGGAGGAAUACCGAUGGCGAAGGCAGCCUCCUGGGAUAACACUGACGUUCAUGCCCGAAAGCGUGGGUAGCAAACAGGAUUAGAUACCCUGGUAGUCCACGCCCUAAACGAUGUCGAUUAGCUGUUGGGCAGCAUGACUGCUUAGUAGCGAAGCUAACGCGUGAAAUCGACCGCCUGGGGAGUACGGUCGCAAGAUUAAAACUCAAAGGAAUUGACGGGGACCCACACAAGCGGUGGAUGAUGUGGAUUAAUUCGAUGCAACGCGAAGAACCUUACCUGGU